This 484-nucleotide ribosomal RNA is filed under the name uncultured bacterium. Its description in RNAcentral is "partial 16S ribosomal RNA". It matches the Rfam family "Bacterial small subunit ribosomal RNA", at positions 30 to 507 of the family's 1533-position model. The record is from RNAcentral.
AUUGAACGCUGGCGGCAGGCCUAACACAUGCAAGUCGAGCGGAUGAAGGGAGCUUGCUCCUGGAUUCAGCGGCGGACGGGUGAGUAAUGCCUAGGAAUCUGCCUGGUAGUGGGGGAUAACGUGCGGAAACGGGCGCUAAUACCGCAUACGUCCUGAGGGAGAAAGGGGGGGAUCUUCGGGCCUCACGCCAUCAGAUGAGCCUAGGUCGGAUUAGCUAGUUGGUGGGGUAAAGGCCUACCAAGGCGACGAUCCGUAACUGGUCUGAGAGGAUGAUCAGUCACACUGGAACUGAGACACGGUCCAGACUCCUACGGGAGGCAGCAGUGGGGAAUAUUGGACAAUGGGCGAAAGCCUGAUCCAGCCAUGCCGCGUGUGUGAAGAAGGUCUUCGGAUUGUAAAGCACUUUAAGUUGGGAGGAAGGGCAGUAAGUUAAUACCUUGCUGUUUUGACGUUACCAACAGAAUAAGCACCGGCUAACUUCGUG